GCAGGAAGCAUUACGACGUGCAGCCAGCCUUCGCAGUGCAACUCUCCUUGAAACCAUUCACUUCACCUUGCAUCUCGUAACUCUGCUCGGUGCACUCGGCUCAGUGUGCUUGGUUACCGGUGUGCAACGCGGAACUUCGCAUUCUUGUUGUGGACCCCCGGUUCCCUGGUGCGUGUCACGACUCUUAGUUGUGACAGCAUAACCCACUGUUUGCACGCCUAGCCGCACAACUGCAGCCUGGCGAGUAUCUGCUUGGAGACUGAGGAUAUCCCCUCGAGCCAUGGCUUCUUCUUCCAGUACCUGGCAGCCAUGCCGGCACCACCUCUGACGGCCACUACCACCGGGAGCCCGCAUCCAUGCG
Dermacentor albipictus is the source of this 361-nucleotide long non-coding RNA. RefSeq lists it as uncharacterized. The record is from RefSeq and is a predicted model, not a curated record. NCBI's taxonomy places the organism in Eukaryota, Metazoa, Arthropoda, Arachnida, Ixodida, Ixodidae.